UAUAGCUGCAAGCACUGCAGAACCCAUCUGGCUCUUUAUGAAGAUAUUGUUUCAAAGUCCUUCCAGUGCAGGUAUGGGAAAGCUUAUCUCUUCAACAAGGUAGCGAAUGUCUUUGUGGGAGUGAAAGAAGAGAGAUUGAUGAUGACUGGGUUGCAUACUGUUGCUGAUAUUUUCUGUGUUGGAUGUGGAUCGAUUGUGGGUUGGAAAUACGAGACUGCCUGUGAAAAGAGCCAAAAGUACAAGGAAGGAAAAUCUGUUCUCGA
RNAcentral lists this unclassified non-coding RNA (263 nucleotides) under Hevea brasiliensis (rubber tree). The record is from RNAcentral. Lineage: Eukaryota; Viridiplantae; Streptophyta; Magnoliopsida; Malpighiales; Euphorbiaceae.